Molecule: ribosomal RNA, 380 nt
Filed under: uncultured eukaryote
Lineage: Eukaryota
Description: partial 18S ribosomal RNA
Rfam family: Eukaryotic small subunit ribosomal RNA
Source: RNAcentral
CAAUAGCGUAUAUUAAAGUUGUUGCGGUUAAAAAGCUCGUAGUUGGAGUUCUGUCAGGUGCCGCCUGUCCGCCCCAGUGGUGAGUACGUGGCGCGCAUUUGGCCCUUUCAAGGGGAGCGUAUCUGCACUUUAUUGUGUGGUGCGGGAUCCUUGACUUUUACUUUGAGGAAAUAGGAGUGUUCCAAGCAGGCUCUCGUCGUGCACAGCUCAGCAUGGAAUAAUAGCAUUGGACCUCGAUUCUAAGCUGUUGGUUGCCAGAAGCGAGGUGAUGAUGAAGAGGGAUAGUUGGGGGCAUUCGUAUUUAACUGUCGGAGGUGAAAUUCUUGGAUUUGUUAAAGACGGACUACUGCGAAAGCAUCUGCCAUGGAUGUUUUCACUGA